Molecule: long non-coding RNA, 8917 nt
Filed under: Fragaria vesca (wild strawberry)
Lineage: Eukaryota; Viridiplantae; Streptophyta; Magnoliopsida; Rosales; Rosaceae
Description: long non-coding RNA (FVES_LNC005516)
Source: RNAcentral
ACAAACCAAAAUUCGACCGUCCGAUAUGAUCAUUAUGACGAAAGAUGUCUAUGGUAAAAAAUUCAACUGGAUUCGACAACGUUAAGGGCUCGAUCGAAACGGUCAACUCUAAUCGGAAAUAAGAAAACUGCAUUUUGAAGCCCUAAACGGACUCGGAUGACCAAAAAGGCCCGUACAUCAUGGCACUAGCGAUGAGUUUGACUCGUAGGGCCGUUACGCUUCCGGAAAGGUAUCACAAUAGUCAAUCAGACACCAAAAACCAAAUCUGCAGCAUAGUGAAUAAUAAGGGUAAAUUGCAUUGACCACAACUAUCGGCACCGAGACUUUAUCGGAAUACCGUGAUUUUUCAAAUGUAGACGUAUUUCACCAUUCUGGUCAUAUCUUAUUUCACAACUUUUUUGCGUUUGAAGGUUCUACGUAUAGUUUAUUUUUUCCCAGAUGAGUUGUUAUCUAGAUCUGUAAAUAUAAGGCACUUUAGCCGACGAAAUUAUAUUUUUCGUCGGCUAAACUUUUAAAAAUUUCGUCGGCUAAAGUUCACAGACUAUAGCUGACGAAAAAAAUUAUUCAAACGACGAAAUUUUAAUUUCGUCGGCUAAAGUUGACCAUAGCCGACGAAAAUUUUUAAUUAGCCGACGAAGGGACUUUAGCCGACGAAAAAAUAAUUCGUCGGCCUGGUUUUUUUAUUUUCGUCGGCUAAAGUCUUUCUUCUGGUAGUGUCCCACGCUCACGUCACACCAUAAUGGGGCUAAUUGCUACACCAUUAUGGCGGAAAAACACGUAUGGCUAGCUAGCAUUUUUAUACAUUCUAUCCUUAUAAAUAUCCUUAUAUAUUCACCGAAAAUCCCAUUUUCGGUAACUCUUCAAAAUAAUGAAAAUUGCCAAAUAUAAAAGAAUGAAAUAUGUAUAUGACUCCACCGAAAAUCCUAUUUUUGGUAACUUUCUAAAUAGCGAAGUUAACAAUAAAAAUAAAAAUAUUAACUUCCAAAAUAACUUAACAGAAAUAAUCAUGAAAGGAUAUCAAUUCCACACAUUAAUAUUCAAUAAAAUCAUUCCUUUACUGCAUGCAUUUAAUUUAAAACAAAUGUCCACUCACAGAUUUAGGCCUAAGCUUGACGUCAAUCCGAGGUCUUUUCAGCUCAAGCCUACUCACGUCCUGUUUCAAAUAUAUAAUUAAGCCCCAACUAAAAAUUCAAUACUUAUCUAAAUAAACAAGAAUAAAAGUGAGUCUUAUACAACACUCGUCCUUGCCCAACUUCUCCAUUCUUAGCACAAUAAGGCCCGAACUUCACCACAAGCAUCAACAGCCUUAAAACACCUUUCUAAAGUUGUUAGGACCCACCUGAAUUUCACCCUGAAACCCGAGGUAAAUCCUACGGGGUCCACCUUCAAGGAAAAUUUACCGAAAAUUCGGCAUAACAUUCCUUGAAAAUGGACAACCCUUACCUGAAAAAUCCAACUCAACACUUCUAUAACCAAACAUCCAUCCUUAACACUUGGAGCCUUCCUGCUCCCCAAGUUCAUCUCAUCUUCCAAUAUAACAAUUACUCAUCUAAAAUAGUCCCACAACUGACAAUAACUAACAUUAAUUCACUAACUGGUUAUCAGAACAUAUCUAAAGUUAAACGAAAAACAAUGACUAAAGAACAAGCGGAAGCAGCCUCUGACUAUGCCUCGACUCCAUAUACGCUCGACCUCAAUUAUACUUAACCUGCAAACUGGGUAUUUAAAACCAAAGGGCCCAGAGGAAAGUAAUUUAAACACGUUAGAGUGAGUGGACAAAAUAAUUUAACAAAUACUCAAUUUAAAUACUUUCCCACAUUUCAGCUUUAAAAACUUAGCUGCACGCAAUAUUUGAUAAAUCAUAUAACUUAAAUCCACAAACCCAUAAGAAUGGACAAACCAGCCAUGCUGCUUUUUUUUAAAACGUUUUAUUAAUAACUCACACACCCUGCAUAUGCCCGUGAGGUUUGAACCCGUGAGCUCAAAGUUGUUAGUUAAACCAGCCCCGCUGGUUAAAUCAAAUAAAGAAAUCUCCUAAAAAGAGAUAAACCAGCCCCGCUGGUUGAUCAAAUAUAUAUCUGAGAAGAAUAAAAUAAGGGGAAGAGUUAUCACCAUGAAAAAGGAGCCUCCUAGGCUCGGGUCGGUGCGUCCCAGGCUAUAAUAGCAUCCAACGCUAAGCGCUAUACUCACCUAUAGUGAAGACCGCUAAUAAAAGCUAGCUAACUAAUAAAUAUAAAUACCAAUCGGUUGCCUCCUAGGCUAAUAUAGCGUCCCACGUUACGCGCUCUACUCACAUAUGAAGAGGACCGCUAAUAAAGCUAUAAUAGUGACUCACAUAUGAUGAGGACCGCUAAUAAGGUUAGCUAGCAAUAAUCAAUAAAAAAGCGACCCUAUAUUAUGGUGACUAAAAUCAUACACGAAUCUUUUAAAUCCAUGAAACUUCCCCAAGAUCAUACGAAUGGUAUGGUUCCCAACCGUACUUGAAAAUCAUCAUAAUAAAUUAUAAUAAACUCAAUGACGUGUCUCACACGUCAAAAUAUUCUCGAAACCAUAUCAUAAGCGAGAUUUAAUUAACAAGUAAAAAUCAUAAUUAAUAUCUCAAUCUAAAAUACUCGCUAAAACAUUCUCAAGAUCAAGAUCGAUAUUCCACCAAUAAUUUCCAAAAUUAUAAAUAGCAAACUAUCGAAAAUCCCAUUUUCGGAAAUCUUUUAUCUCAAAGUCCACUAAUAAAACCAUUUUAAUGAAAUCCGGAAUUUAUAAAAAUAUCCAAACUCAAAUAUCAAAUUAGUAAUCCGAGCUCAAAUCCAGAAAUCAUGACCCAUAAUUAAUCAAUGCUUCAAUCUCAAAUACUUUCCAAGAUCAUUUCAUAAGCCGAAAUUAUAAUAUAAGCUUGGAAAAUAAAUUAACAAAUUAUAAAAUCUUGCAUGCAAAUUUAUUUAAAACCAAAAUGUCCACUCACAAAUUUAGGCAUAAGUCCAACGAUAACCGGAUCGCCACUCAAACGAGGUUCCCUUCGCAUCCUGGCACAACAACCAUGCUUAGAACCAAACUUCAAUUCCAGAAAAUAAAUACGUGAAUAAAAACAUCUAACUCUCUUCCGUUGAACCCACUACUCUUAAUAGGGUUAAACUCGCCGGAUUCACACCAAACUCCACCACAACCUUAAUUCAUCAAUUCUAACAUUCUAUAAUAAAUACCAAGGAAAUCCAACAGCCUGGAUUUUCAUUCUAAUAACCGGCAAAAUCCUUAAUCUUUUAAAAAUCCCAAACCUUAUCAAAACUCCUCCAAAAAUUCCAAACUAUACUUCAUUAGACUCCUCUCAUUAUAACAAACCCAAAAACCUAAAAAACAACCUCCAAGUGGCGGCGGCGCCGCUUGCUCCACCUGCAGCCGUACUCCGGCGGCGUCUAUUGCCUCUCAAAAUUUAACAGAAUAAUCCUCUCAUCAAGCACAAUAACUUUCAUCACUAGCACUUAGUCCAAUUCUAAGCUUAACUAGGGUAAUCGAAUCAAAACAUCCAAAAAUCCCCCAAUUCAAACCCUAGCCCGAAAAUCCUCCUACACACUUCGAAUUAGAUCAUUACCUUCUAUGGAAAUGUUACACACGGAGAGCACUUCCAAAUGGGACUGAAAUCAUCGGAGAUGGUGGCUGGAGGAGCGAGUUCCGGCGUCGGGACUCCACCACGCAGCCGGAGCUUCCGAGAGCUCUUCCUCCCUCACGGCGGGGCUAGGGCGGCUCCCACCGGUCCAAGAAGAGAGCUGGGUCGACAGCCGACCGUUUGGGAUCGGUGCGGCUGUCUCUGGUGGCCGAACGGCGGCGAAUGACGCUGGGAAAGUUUUCGGCAGGAGAGAGAGCCUGGGGAGGCUCGGGAGAGAGAGAGAGAAGAGAGAGAGAAAGAGAAUGUGGGUGUUGGGCUUCUCCACACCCGGUCCACCACUUAAAACACCCACAAAAUAAAACCCAAUAAAAAUUUACCCCUUACCAACUAAUAUUUACCCUUUUAAUUGUUAACUUUGUCAUGCAAAUUUCGAAUUUAACACAUAGCAUGUCUAUGAACUCGUAUUAACGUCCUCUUCGACUUUCAUGAAGAAAGUUUUCCCAAAUUCCAAACGGAAGAAAAAGUCAACUUUUGGAGUCUUAAAAUUGUAAACGGUUACUUAAAACGGUAAAAGACCAAAAUAAUACCAAAGUAAAUAACUAUAAAAUAACUUAAGAACCGGGGUGUGACAAAAGUUUAAACAAUGCUAAUCCAACGACUGGAUUCUACCCUAUUAACCGCCAAGUUCACCAAUCAAUGAAAAUCCCAAACCUAACCAAAACUUCUCCAAAAAUUACAAACUUCACAUCAUUAUACUCCUCUAAACAUAACAAAUUUAAUAACAUGAAAAACUACCCAAAAGAGGCGGCGCCACCGUCUGCUCUGCUGGCAGCGGCGACGGCCAGCCAUUCUCCGACCACCUCUUAUGCGCACCAAAAUUUAACAUAAUCUUCCUCUCAACACGCUCAACAACUUCCUUAACUAACACAAACACCAAUUCCAAGCCUAGAUAGGGUAAUCGAACCAAAACAAUAAUAAUCCCAAAUUGAAACCCUAGAACUUCAACUAACCGAUUCUCCUCACCUGAUGCGAAUUGGUUUGAUUCCUUCUAGGGUAUUGUUAUACCAAGAAAGGCCUUCAAGAUGAGCCAAAGGUCUCUAACUAUGAUGGCAGGAUGAGGAAGAUUUCGGCAAGAACUCCACUACUGUGCAGUCGCACUUUCAGUCGAUAUUUCUCUCUCACGGUGGCUCUAGGGAGGUUUCCACCAACCCAGAAAGGUAGUAGAGGUGAUGGCCAGUCGAACGGGACCGGGGCGGUGGCCUGAGCUGGCUGGACGGCGGUGAUCGGAGGUGGAGAUCGUUGGCAGGGAGGGAGACUCGGGGGAGAGGAGAGAGAAGAGAGAGUUGGGUUGUUUUUACUCCUUCCCUGUCAGGACCCACCCCGAAAAUUUACUGAAAAUUCGGCAUAAUCUACAUUGAAAAUGAACAACCCUUACCUGAAAAAUUUCAAAUAAACACUUCUAUUAAAAAUCAUCCAUCCUCAACUCCUAGAGCCUUCCUGCUCCCCAAGUUCAUCACAUCUCCUAAUAUAUCAAUUACUCAUCUAAAAGCAUCCCACAACCAAAAACAAAGACAUUUAAUAAGUUACUACUGAAUUUUCAGAGCAUAUUUAAUGAUGAAUGAAAAACAAUGAAAACGAAUAAGCGGAAGCAGCCUCUGACUAUGCCUCGACUUCAUGUACGCUUGACCUCAUUUAAACUUAUCCUGCAUACUGGGCAUUUAAAACCAAAGGGCCCAAGCGAAAGUAAUUUAAAACGUUAGAGUGAGUGGACAAAAAUAAAUUAAAUAAUUUAACAAAAUCGUAAUUUUAAUACUUUCCCACGUUUAAACUUUUAAAACCUCGAUGCAUACAACUUUGAUAAACAUUUAACUUUAAAAUCCAUAAUCUCAUUAAAAAAAUAGAUAAACCAGCCCCGCUGGUUAACCAAAUUCAUAAAUGAGAAGAAUAAAAUAAGGGAAAGAGUUAUCACAAUGUAAAAGGAGCCUCCCAGGUUCGGGUCAGUGCCUCCCAGGCUAUAAUAGCGUCCCACGCUAAGCGCUUUACUCACUUAUAGUGAGGACCGCUAAUAAUGGCUAGCUAACUAAUAAAUAUAAAUACCGAUAGGUUGCCUCCCAAGCUAUAAUAGCGUCCCACGCUAAGGGCUCUACUCACCUGUGGUGAGGACCGCUAAUAAUGGUUAGGUAACAAUAAUCAAUAUAAACGACCCUAUAUUAUGGUGACUAAAAACAUACGAAAACACUUAAUUUCAUUAAACUUCCCCAAGAUCAUACGAAUGGUACGGUUCCCAACCGUACUUGAAAAUCAUCAUAAGAAAUUAUAUUAAAACUCAAUGACGUGUCUCACACGUCAAAAUAUUCUCAAAUCCAUAAUUAUAAGUGAGAUUUAAUUAUCAAAUAUAAAUUGUAAAUAAUUUCAUAAUCCGAAAACACUCGCUAAAAAUAUUCUCAAUGUCAAGAUCGAUAAUCCACAAGUAAACUAGUAAGUUAUAAGUAGAGAACUACCGAAAAUCCCAUUUUUGGUAAUCUUUUAUAAAUCUCACAAUCAUCAAAAUAAAACCGAUAAUAAUUAAAUCCGGAGUCAUAAAGAAUAUGCAAACUCAAAUACCAACUUUAAAACCCAAGCUCAAAUCCAUAAAUCAUGACCAACACUUAAACAAUGCUUCAAACUCAAAUAAAUUCAAGACCAUAUCAUAAACUAAAAUUAUAAUGUAAGCUUGGAAACUAAAUUGAUAUCUUAUAAAAUCUUGCAUGCAUAUUUAUUAAAAUCAAAGUGUCCACUCACAGUAUUAGGCUUAAGCUUUCCAUUGCUCGGAACACUCCUCGAGCGCCGCCUCCAAAUAUCCAUGUCCUUGAGUCAAUCCCGCCUGACCAUAAGCUGUAGGACAAAUCGGUCAGACCGAACCUUAAAAUAACCAUUGCCUCGUCUUCUUUCCUAGUUUGACUAGGGUUUCCUAGGUUGACCAGGAUUGGCCAACUAACGAUGCUCAACGUUUUCCAAUUCAACCUUUGACUUAACAAUUCGAUCCAAUUUUCACUAUACGUCCCACUAACCGUUAGACACUUGGGCAUCGCUUAAUAAUUCAUUUUGAUGGACUUCGAUUUUAAUUAAUCAAACUAAUGCAAUUUCUGUCAAGACCCACCCCGAAUUUUACCCUAAAACCCAGAGUAAGUCCUGCGGGGACCACUCCCAAGUAAAGAUUUACCUAAAAAUUGGCAAAACCUCCUUUGAAAAUGGACAACCCUUACCUGAAAAAUUUCAAAUUUACACUCCUACUAACACACAUCCAACCUUAACUCCUGGAGCCAUCCGCUCCCCGCAAACACAACCGCCACAAAAUCAACAAUACAUCAACAUCCAAACAUCACAUAAAUAUCCAGCUAAAACAGUAAACCUCAUCCUUCAGAUACUUUAAAUAGAAAACAACAGACCGAGCACACCACCGAAAUAAUUUACAUUAAUCCCAAAGUAUUCAGAGCUACUAGACACUAGCGGAAGCAAGAAAACACGGGUAGGUUAAACAUGUAACCUACUGGUGAAAAGUGGUGGAAAUGCGGGUGACUAUGCCUCGCCUCCUACUAGAUCCAACCUGAACUCUGCAGACUGGGCAAUUUAAAACGAAGGGCGCAGGGGAAAACAUUUAAUAACGUUAGAGUGAGUGGAUGAAAAUAAAUUAAUAAAUAAAAUAUUUAUGUUUCCCCAGAUUAAUUUCUAAGGAAAAAUCGAAUGCAUGCCGCAAGCGAUAAAACUUUUAUCUCAUAAAAUAUCGAGCCUCUCAGGCUCUAUAAUAUAUGUAUGUAUUUACACACGUCCAUACUCCCUAUAUAAAUUCAUGGGUCUAUAUAGGGCUACUAGGCUCGCGUCCAACGCUUACGUCACGCCUUAAUGCGGUGCCACACUACGCCAUUAAGGUGGACAGACGGGUGUAUAAAUAUGUGUCCAUACCCCUUAUAUGAAUUAAACACUCAUAUAGGGCUACUACACUUACGUCCAACGCACACGUCAUACCAUAAUGCAGCUAUAUGCUACGCCAUUAAGGUGGACAGACACAUAUGGCUAGCUAGCAUUUAUAUACAUACUCUCCUCAAUAUACAUAUUUAUACUCACCGAAAAAUCCCAUUUUUCGGUAACUCUCCAAGAGAAAUAAAAGCGUCAAAAUUAAAUGACGUCAAAAGUCCAACAAACUCAAUUGUUCAACCAUGAACCAUAACAUGCAUAUUAUUAAAAACAAAAGUCCACUCACAAAUUAGGCCUAAGCCUGAUGUCGAUCUGGGGCCUCGUCUGCUCGAGCCUCCUCACGUCCUGUUCCAAAUAUAAGAUUAAUUUUCUAGCCGAAAUUCCAAUAUUUACUCAAAAAUAGGCAAAUAAAUAUGAGCCGUAACCACGCUCAUUGUCGCCUAACUUCGAUAUUUCUAAACCGAAACGAUCCAAACUUUAAUACCAAAAUCGGCAGCCGUAACACAACCUCCCACAGAUUUAAAGACUUUAAUCCUACAGCCGGAUUCUACAUUAAUUAACCGCCAAAAAUACCAAACUUUGGAAAAUCUCAAACCUAUCCAAAACUCAUCCAAAAAUUUCAUAUUUCACAUCAAUAAACUCCCAUUAAUUUUCCACAUUUAAAACCAUAAAAAUCUCUCACACAGCGGCGGCCGGAAGCCGACUCCGGCGACCUCCAAUGCCUAUGAAAUUUUGACAGCAUCUUCCUCUCAACCCCCUCUACAACUUUCCUAACUAGCACAAACAUCAAUUCCAAGCCUAACUAGGUCAAUCGAGCAAAAACAUCCUAAAAGCCCUAGAAAAUUCAACUCCACAUUUCUUUUUACCUAGCUCAAGAGAGGGUGAGACCUUUUGAUAAGUGCAUUUUUACGCCAUGAUCUUAAUGGAUUUUCACCCCCAUUUACACUUUGUUUGUGCCUUAGUAUGUUUGUUUUUACUUAUUUUAGAGUCAAGAGGGUUUUUCUGUAGAGUUGUGACUACUAGUCGUUUUUAUACAGAAAAUUGCACUUAAAUGAUGAAAACCGUUUUUGGACUAUCACUUGGACGUUUUACCGUGAUUCGUUAUUGGGUUACCUUGUCAGUUUUGAUGUAUCUUGUUUAAAUGUGCAGAAGACGGGUACAUGAACGUUACGUAUCAAGAAUCAUGGUGAAUGGACUCAUGAAUGACAACAAGUGAGGCCACGGAAGAGGAAGGAACACUUCUAGACAUUGUUUUUGGUCUCGGACAGAAUCUGCCAGAAAACGUACAUCUACUUCGGAAAAUCAUAUCUCGAGAUCUAGGAGGAGUUAGAAGACGUGCCACAUAUGGACUUAAAGCUGUNNNNN